GAUGAAGAACGUAGCGAAAUGCGAUAAGUAAUGCGAAUUGCAGAAUUUCCGUGAGUCAUCGAAUCUUUGAACGCAUAUUGCGCCCUUUGGUAUUCCGAAGGGCAUGCCUGUUCGAGCGUCAUUAUCACCGUAUCAAGCUUGGCUUGUUGUUGGGCCCUUUGUCACCUGGUGACAGGUCCAAAAGACAAUAACCGGUGUCAUACAGACUCUAUAUGCAACGAGCUUAUAACAGCACGCAUCUGGUAGUCAUAUGGCCCAGUUCUCACUUUGAUAAAUAUAUUUUUCUCAAGGUUGACCUCGGAUCAGGUAGGAAUACCCGCUGAACUUAAGCAUAUCAAUAAGCGGAGGA
This 349-nucleotide unclassified non-coding RNA is filed under the name soil metagenome. RNAcentral describes it as "partial contains 5.8S ribosomal RNA, internal transcribed spacer 2, and large subunit ribosomal RNA". The stretch from base 1 to 121 matches the Rfam family "5.8S ribosomal RNA", at positions 35 to 154 of the family's 154-position model. The record is from RNAcentral.